This 240-nucleotide unclassified non-coding RNA is filed under the name soil metagenome. RNAcentral's name for it is "partial contains 5.8S ribosomal RNA, internal transcribed spacer 2, and large subunit ribosomal RNA". The record is from RNAcentral.
AACACUGUUAACCUGCGGUACCUGCGGAAGGAUCAUUACAGAGUUGCAAAACUCCCUAAACCAUUGUGAACGUUACCUAAACCGUUGCUUCGGCGGGCGGCCCGGGUCCUUCCCGGCGCCCAUCGGCCCUCGCGGGCGCCCGCCGGAGGUAAACCAAACUAUUGCAUUGUAUAGCCUCUCUGAGUCUUCUGUACUGAAUAAGUCAAAACUUUUAACAACGGAUCUCAGAUCGGAAGAGCA